Molecule: ribosomal RNA, 289 nt
Filed under: Wolbachia endosymbiont of Aedes albopictus
Lineage: Bacteria; Pseudomonadati; Pseudomonadota; Alphaproteobacteria; Rickettsiales; Anaplasmataceae
Description: partial 16S ribosomal RNA
Rfam family: Bacterial small subunit ribosomal RNA
Source: RNAcentral
ACCUAGUARUACGGAAUAAUUGUUGGAAACGGCAACUAAUACCGUAUACGCCCUACGGGGGAAAAAUUUAUUGCUAUUAGAUGAGCCUAUAUUWKAUUAGCUAGUUGGUGGAGUAAUAGCCUACCAAGGCAAUGAUCUAUAGCUGAUCUGAGAGGAUGAUCAGCCACMCUGGAACUGAGAUACGGUCCAGACUCCUACGGGAGGCAGCAGUGGGGAAUAUUGGACAAUGGGCGAAAGCCUGAUCCAGCCAUGCCGCAUGAGUGAAGAAGGCCUUUGGGUUGUAAAGCUC